CCUACGGGUGGCAGCAGUGAGGAAUAUUGGUCAAUGGACGCGAGUCUGAACCAGCCAAGUAGCGUGAAGGAUGACUGCCCUACGGGUUGUAAACUUCUUUUAUAUAGGAAUAAAGUGUUCCACGUGUGGCUUUUUGUAUGUACCAUAUGAAUAAGGAUCGGCUAACUCCGUGCCAGCAGCCGCGGUAAUACGGAGGAUCCGAGCGUUAUCCGGAUUUAUUGGGUUUAAAGGGAGCGUAGGUGGGUUGUUAAGUCAGUUGUGAAAGUUUGCGGCUCAACCGUAAAAUUGCAAUUGAUACUGGCAGUCUUGAGUACAGUAGAGGUAGGCGGAAUUCGUGGUGUAGCGGUGAAAUGCUUAGAUAUCACGAAGAACUCCGAUUGCGAAGGCAGCUUACUGGACUGCCACUGACAUUGAUGCUCGAAAGUGUGGGUAUCAAACAGGAUUAGAUACCCUAGUAGUC
RNAcentral lists this ribosomal RNA (460 nucleotides) under uncultured bacterium. RNAcentral's name for it is "partial 16S ribosomal RNA". It matches the Rfam family "Bacterial small subunit ribosomal RNA", at positions 338 to 795 of the family's 1533-position model. The record is from RNAcentral.